CAAGUCCAGGCUGAUUACCUGGGAGCCCUUGUAGGACUUUGUGAAGACCAGCCACAUGGUCAACACACCUGUACAGACCAUGCACAUCAUGGGGGACCUGGGACCAGCAGGCAAACUUGGCCAAAAGGAGAAGGAAUGCUUGUGUGCACGAUAAGAGCAGAUGGAAAUGGAGUGGUUACCAUCAAACCAGACUUCAACAAAGGCAAGGAGCACUACAGGCCAGUGACCUGCACCCGCUGAAGUCAAAAUAUUUUACCCCUAGCUCAAGUAAGGGUCACUUACUUGGUAGCAGAAUUUAUACAUUCCCAGCCAUUUACUGUGAUAUGAUGCUGUUUGUUUGCACCCAAGGUUGAGACGGAGGGGGAGAAGAGGGAGGUGUGGCGACAGAACAGCAGCAGUGCAUAUAUUUUUUCACCUUUAUUUAACCAGGUAGGCAAGUUGAGAACAAGUUCUCAUUUACAAUUGCGACCUGGCCAAGAUAAAGCAAAGCAGUUCGACACAUACAACGACACAGAGUUACACAUGGAGUAAAACAAACAUACAGUCAAUAAUACAGUAUAAACAAGUCUAUAUACGAUGUGAGCAAAUGAGGUGAGAUAAGGGAGGUAAAGGCAAAAAAAGGCCGUGGUGGCAAAGUAAAUGCAAUAUAGCAAGUAAAACACUGGAAUGGUAGAUUUGCAAUGGAAGAAAGUGCAAAGUAGAAAUAAAAAUAAUGGGGUGUAAAGGAGCAAAAUAAAUAAAUUAAAUACAGUAGGGAAAGAGGUAGUUGUUUGGGCUAAAUUAUAGGUGUGCUAUGUACAGGUGCAGUAAUCUGUGAGCUGCUCUGACAGUUGGUGCUUAAAGCUAGUGAGGGAGAUAAGUGUUUCCAGUUUCAGAGAUUUUUGUAGUUCGUUCCAGUCAUUGGCAGCAGAGAACUGUAAGGAGAGGCGGCCAAAGAAAUAAUUGGUUUUGAGGGUGACUAGAGAGAUAUACCUGCUGGAGCGUGUGCUACAGGUGGGAGAUGCUAUGGUGACCAGCGAGCUGAGAUAAGGGGGGACUUUACCUAGCAGGGUCUUGUAGAUGACAUGGAGCCAGUGGGUUUGGCGACGAGUAUAAAGCGAGGGCCAACCAACGAGAGCGUACAGGUCGCAAUGGUGGGUAGUAUAUGGGGCUUUGGUGACAAAACGGAUUGCACUGUGAUAGACUGCAUCCAAUUUGUUGAGUAGGGUAUUGGAGGCUAUUUUGUAAAUGACAUCUCCAAAGUUUAGGAUUGGUAGGAUGGUCAGUUUUACAAGAGUGUGUUUGGCAGCAUGAGUGAAGGAUGUUUACAUUCUAACCAGACACCUAGGUAUUUGUAGUUGUCCACGUAUUCUAAGCCAGAGCCGUCCAGAGUAGUGAUGUUGGACAGGUGCAGGCAGCAAUCGGUUGAAGAGCAUGCAUUUAGUUUUACUUCUAUUUAAGAGCAAUUGGAGGCCACAAAGGAAGAGUUGUAUGGCAUUGAAGCUUGCCUGGAGGGUUGUUAACACAGUGUCCAAAGAAGGGCCAGAAAUAUACAGAAUGGUGUCGUCUGCGUAGAGGUGGAUCAGAGACUCACCAGCAGCGAGAGCGACAUCAUUGAUGUAAACAGAGAAGAGAGUCGGUCCAAGAAUUGAACCCUGUGGCACCCCCAUAGAGACUCCCAGAGGUCCGGACAGCAGACCCUCCGAUUUGACACAUUGAACUCUAUCAGAGAAGUAGUUGGUGAUCCAGGCGAGGCAAUCAUUUGAGAAACCAAGGCUGUCGAGUCUGCCGAUGAAGAUGUGGUGAUUGACAGAGUCGAAAGACUUGGCCAGAUCAAUGAAUAUGA
Oncorhynchus kisutch (coho salmon) is the source of this 1825-nucleotide long non-coding RNA. NCBI's taxonomy places the organism in Eukaryota, Metazoa, Chordata, Actinopteri, Salmoniformes, Salmonidae. The record is from Ensembl.